Crotalus tigris (Tiger rattlesnake) is the source of this 1368-nucleotide long non-coding RNA. RefSeq lists it as uncharacterized. The record is from RefSeq and is a predicted model, not a curated record. Lineage: Eukaryota; Metazoa; Chordata; Lepidosauria; Squamata; Viperidae. The transcript is spliced from 3 exons.
UCGUCUUAUACGCCGGAAUAUACGGUAUAUGCUGUAGAACAUGUUACUGAAUAAGAUGUUUUAUACAAUAUUGGAAAACUAUCAGCUCAAAGCAGCAAAUUAAGAAACCUGAGAAAUGCAGAGAUGUUUUUCUAGUAAAUCACAUGUCACUAGGUCACCUGUUAAUUGCUUGAAGAUGAUUGUCUAGGCUGAUGCAGGGGACCUAUAGCCCUCCAGGUAUUAUUGAACAACUAACUCCCAGGAUCCUACUCCAUUGGUAUGCUAGACGGAAAGCCAGAGGUUGUUCACAAAGAAAGACCCUUGGAAGGAUGUAAUCCAAAGUUGUUUAUGUGGAAUUUAUAUUUCACAUUUCCUCCAGAGACCAUGGCAUUGCACACAGUAUUUCUCCUACUCCAUGUUAUCCCCACAACAGCCCCCUAAUGAAGUUAAAAAAGAUUAUGAUGGAUGCACAAUUAUCGUUUUUCAAUAAAUUCCAUUCAGUUUUAGAUGACCUGGAUGCCUGAGAAUCUCUAUAGACAUUGUUCCCUACUUUGUUCAUAUCUAUCAGCUUCUAGGAGACAGGAAUGCAAGAAUGUCUAGGAUGGUCUGUAACAACUCCCAAUGCUUGUUGAUGGACCCCAACCCCCAGUCCUUCAAUUUCCCCACCCCCUUCUAUUUCUCCACAGUGCUUUCCCUCCACUUCUUCUUUUGCCUUUCCUAUGGAAGCUGUCCCUCUAAAUCUCCUCAAUUAAACUAUUAUGUCUUACCUUAUUUUCUAUUCUUGGUAUGCUUUGAUCUUGGGACUUCCUGAUAUAUUUACUGCUUCUGUUGUCUCCUUAACUACGUACCCCCCCCUUCCCCCAUGCUUUAUUUCCCGCUUUUCUUGCCAGUUUGGGUUUUUCUUGAAAUGAUCCAUUCUUUCAAACAUUCUCUUCCAAAAGAAAGCAAAUACUGCAGCAUUUUUAAAUCAGCAGAUGGAAUCUCUGAGCUGAUCAGUACUGGGAAAGAUUUCCUUUGGAGGGGUGGAUUCCACACUGCAGAAGGCAUUCGAACUGGAUAACAAUCCUUAUAUUACAUUGUUUUAUGAAAAACAAAGUUCCAGGGUUUAACAAAAAUAGUAUUACCUUCCAAAGAAAUAAACUAAAAUUAAAAUAACCCAAUAUUACAUUAAAAUUAAAAUGCCAAUACCUGUUAAAAAGUGGCCCCAGGUUCACUCCCUCUUGAGUUAGUCCUAACCAUGCUCUGUAAAAACUAGCAUGGCCCCACAAGCUGAUGAAAGUUAUGUUUUCCUGCUAUAGUUUAGCACCUCAUUUGACGUAAAUCUCCUUUUCACAUUCUGAAAUAUCCAAAUAAUUUGAUAUAAUAUCCUGAUUAUAACAGAGAACAAGA